AUUCUUUAAAUCUAACGGCCCAUAUUCCUCCCCACUAUUAUAUUUAAACCUAAUUAUAACUUCCCCCCAAACCCUAAACCUAAAUUCCAAAACCCCAAACGGCGCCACCCCUCCUCCGCCUCUCUGUCGCUGCUCAACUCGCCCGAACUUGCCUGAACUCAGGUGAGUUCACCCCCAAACUCGUGCAUGUGAUCCCUCCUAUCUCCCUCCUCCACGUCACCUGUCCCGUAACAACUCCUUCUGUACUGCUGUUUUUUAUGCUGCUCUGUUAAACUUGGCUUCAUACCUGGUUUUCUGACCUUUAUUUGGUCCUUUAUUUGUUAUUUCCUGUCAUUAGGUAUGUACAAAUUUGCCUAUUAGCUUCCUGUUGCAAUUAUGAAUAAGUUUGGAUUAUCUGAUGUUGUUUGUGUCUGAUCUCCUUACUAUGUUUCAUUGCAAUUGCUUCCAUGUAAAUUUUUGGUUUUGAUUGUUCAUUUGAACUAAAUAUGGUGAUUCAAGUUAUUUUUGACUAGUUUACACAACUACUCAAUGUCAUUGUGUAGGUUUAAUAUCACAGAUUCAUCAUUGUUUUGAUUAACAAGUUUUAUAUGUUAAAAUCAUCUCAUAAUGAGUUUAUUGUUUAGUGUAUGAUGGUUUAUUCUUUUAAAAUUAGUGAUUCACACUCAAAAUGAUAUCUAUACUAAUAGAUUAAUCAAUCUUGUUGCCUAGCCAUUUAGCGGUUGUGCAUGACAGAGCCGAUUAAUAAGAGUAGCCCAGUGGCUAUUUUCUUAUAAAUCAGAGGUCUGCCCGAAGGAACGAGAGGCGUAUGAUUCAAGAAUAGCAAUGGUCGUGCAAGAUAAUGUGAUGGAAUCAUGGAAUGCGUUAAACUAGCUUUAGAUUGUUGAAAUUUGUAAUCUGAAUCCCAAGCUCAGUUACUGUACAUGAUUGUUAAAUUCUUGACCCUAUGCCUUCAUGAAAUAUACAUAGUUGUCGAUAAUGAAUUGUAUUUGUUUACUUGAAAUUUUUCAUUAUUAUUGACAAAAUCAGUGUAUAGAUCCAUAUGUCUUUGAGUUCAUAUACUUGGGUUUCAAUUUACGUAUGCCUCCACUGGAGAAAUCAAUUAGCUGAAUUUAUGCUCUUUUACUCCGUUAAUUCAGAGACCAUGGGUUGUAUUCAUAUAUGGCCAGAUUGUGAAUUUAAGUGAGCAAAGGCCAACAUCUGAAACGUGUUGGCCAAAAUGAUGAGAAUUUUCUUUAAGUUAAUAUUAGUAUAUACAUGCAGUUCGCUCCAAUUUUAGCAUAGCAGAAUGCUUAACCAUUGUCAAACAUUUCCAAACAAUUUGGAUACGGUUAAUAUUACUCAUUUCCCUUAGCAAAUUUACACUCAUUUUCCACAAAUCCAUAUCCAUAAUCAUGACUUCCACAAUAAUCUCAAAGUAGUUUAGGAAAAUAAUUCAGGAACAAUCGUAGUUUGUUUUAAGCGCGAUUAAUAAAUCAUCGUGACUAUGGGUACGAUUCCCGUGGUAUGGUCACGAUACGUAAAUUCCAACUCAAGUGUGCGUUUCACUUGACUUUAUCACAACUUCAAAUAAAUAAUAAUAAAAAUUAACAUGUUGUAAAUCGCGGGUACAUUUCACGGGGCGCGAUUCGCAAUAUGCACAGAAGCAAACGAGUGCGCGACAUCGCGAUUUCUUCAAACAAAAUUCCAUAAAUAAUAAAAUCGGUUAGAAAGUUAAAGUGCACAAUAGGUUCUAAAUAUGUAAUAAUUUAUAUAAUUGGGUCAAUUAUUAAUAGUUGAGCGAUCGUGCUAAAAUCACGGAACUCGGGAGAGUCUCACUCCUUCUUCCGAGUUAACAGAAUUCCUUAUCCGGUCUUCUGUGUUCGCAGACCAUAAAUAGAGUCAAUUUUCUCGAUUUGGGAUUUAAAAUAAACCGGUGACUUGGGACACCUUAAAUUAUCCCAAGUGGUGACUCUGAAAUCAAUAAAUAAUUCAAUUUCGAAUAAUGUCACUUAAAUUGGAAAAACUCCCUAUCCCUUCGGAAAAAAGGAUGUGUGACAGCUCCGGCGACUCUACUGGGGAUAAGAACCCAGAAUCUCUGGUUCAGGGUUCAGAAUUCAAGCUUAGAAUAAUUGCUAUAGUUGGCUUUUAUUUAUUAUCUAUUUUCUUACGUGUUUGAGCCUAAUGUGCUAAAUGCUACUUUUUACCGCUUUGAUAUUGCUUGAGCUGUAUAUAAAACUGUUGCGAAACCCUUCUUCUCUCUAAGUCUUCUAAAUCUUCUGGGAAGUGCACGCUGGCGUGACUUGUUUUCUGUUAGUGUCAUACCUUAAUUUAGAACGAGGAUCGGAUCAGUUACAAAGCCGGAUGGCCUUUUGGUUCCCGGUAUGUUGCCCUCCCCCCCGGCUCGAGUUGUCCGCUCGGGUAAGCCAGGUCUAGAACAAUACACCCAAGGGUUCAAAUCUAGAAUAACAUAACCUUAUGUCGGGUCCCUAAUAGGAACGUUUGUUUGCAUCACAUGCAUCUGGCUUUGGGGACUCAACACGGAGGUUGAGUCCAUCUAGGACAAGUGUACCCAAAUUAAAAGACUAUUCUGAUGCAUUUUUACUUGCUACUUGUGCAUUUAUCGGUUUCGGCUUUUAUGUUGACCGGCUUUUAGAGUAGGGAAAGAAAAUCAAGCAAAACCAAGAAGUGAGGUAGGAUAGAGAAACAUUCGGUUCUAAAAAUACCAGUGUUCGAAAUAUUCCGAAACUCUGCCGAAAUUUUAAAAAAAGAAAAAAGAAAAAAGAAGAGUCUUCGAAAAAAUAAGUCCUAUUUUUUCACGCGUCAAAACUCACCAAACUACGCGGGUUUGAUUCCCACCAGGUGUGGGAUACGUAGGCAACCCUCAUCGGGUCCAGCCCUAUUUUUGCAAAAAUAAUCAAAAUAGGGAAAUAUUGUCAUAAAUAAAGUUCGGCGAUGCCAUUUUUGCCCAAAUAGCUAGAUAUGUCCCGACGGGACGCCGGAAGGCUGUUUUGCAAGAAUAGCCACUCAAAAUUGGCCACUUAGCAAACACAAUCUUAAACUCUUCUCCUCCGAAGUGUUGAAAGGCCGUAUUUGCAAAAGUAGCCGUGAUUUGUUUUCGGUUAGAUUUUGUAAAAAUAAUCUUUUCAUGGUCAGUUUUAUACAAAAUUUUAAUCUGGGUACCCUAAUUUAAAAAUGUGCAAAAUGAGCUAUGUUCAGAACUUACCUGUGAAGGUUAUGGAUCAGAUUCCACUAGCCCUCCACAUGUGGUGGGAGGAUUUGGGAAAACAAGGACGAGACAUGGUCAACCAAUACCUGGGGGCGCUCACUGGACUAUUGAAAAUUUAACCUAGAAGGGACCUGAUAGAGGCAUUAGUGGCAUUCUGGGACCCCGCUCAUAAUAUUUUGCACUUCUCAGAUUUUGAUCUUACGCCUACUUUGGAAGAAAUGGCAGGUUAUACUGGGAGCACGGAGGGAUUAAGACACAAGUACCUGGUAUCUCCAUGGACUGUUACUCCCCACAAGUUUCUGGACUUACUAAAAAUAAGCAGACAAAUCAAGACUGGAAGUAUAGAAGGUGGAACUUUCACUUUUCAUUUUCUAUACCAGUGAUACGGGCAGUUAAGGGGAUUCGAAGACCCGAAAAAUGGACUCUGCAGUAAAGGAAACCGAUCAAAAUGGGAGACCCAUAGAUGUUUUGCCUUCAUGGUGGCGUUUUUAGGCCUUUUGUUGUUUCCAAGGAAAGACGGGCAUAUUGAUUUACGGGUAGCCGGGGUUGUCCACGUUCUGACUACUCAGGCCAAGAGUACCCUCGCAUCCAUGAUCGUAUCAGAUAUAUUCCGAGCCCUCACAUUCUGUAAGGCCGGAGUCAGGUUUUUCGAGGGAUGCAAUUUGCUGUUGCAAAUAUGGAUGAUCGAGCACCUUUGUCAUCGUCCUCGAUACAUGAACUAUGGGUCUACGGGAAAAUUUGCAUUGAAGAGUUUGAUACACGAGUAACAAGAUUCGAAAUGCCGGAAGGGGUCAAAGAUUGGAUCACCUGCCUUCGAUCUACAACCGCAGAUCAUAUAGAGUGGACAUUGGGUUGGCUUCCCGUUGAUAAGAUUGUUUAUAUGCCCGCCACUGGUCCCUACUUCUUGCUAAUGGGUCUCCGAAGCAUCCAACCCAAUGCUCCGUACCGGGUUUUGGGACAACUUGGAAGAUGCCAGACAGUUCCUAGAGAUGAAGAUCUUAGCACUUAUGUAGUCGAAAUCCGCUCUGAUGCCCAAUUUCUUGAAGAAUUGGUUUGCCAAAUUUGGAGCUAAUGCCAGUAUUUGGGGGCAAACACCCGAGUACAUGAUUUGUCUAGGGGCGAGGUCUUACCUAGUUAUGUUGUCUAGUAUGGAAAGAGAGUCACUACGAAUGGUGAAUCUGAACGGUCAACUAAAAGACCUCAUAUCCAAGAAUUUGUCAACACAUCGCAGGAGAAGUGGGCUUGGUUAGCCAAAGAAAAGGAAUACCGGGCCACCAUAAGCAAAUUAGAACAACAAAUCAGAAAAAUCAAAUUUGAUAGUAGUUUGUAGGCUGUCGAGGAUGAAGGAGAAAAGAAGAGAUUGGUUCGGGAAAAUGAGGCGUUCCGAGCCCAACUCCGGGACAUGAGGAUAGUCGCUGAAACGCCUAUGAGGAGCGAGAGAGAUGAAAAACUCAUCGGCAACCUAAGGAUGAAGAUGCGUGACUAUGCGGCUGACUUGACAAAGGCCGAAAGAGACUUGUUAAAUGCUCAAGAAAAGUUGGCCAAAGGUGCGGAAGAACAAGCUAGAUUAGCCCACCAGUUGAAGCAAAAAUAUGAUAAAGAAGUAGCAAUUUUACAGAAAAAGCUGGUUGCCCUUGAGAAUGAAAUGGUUAAGCAAACAAAGGAUUUCAAGGCAGAAAGAGAGCAUUGCUACGCAUUGAUUUAUCAAUUACAAUAAAGCAUGCAGCAGUUACAAGACCAAAACAACACAGAUACACAAGUGUUGGAGGCUCGGGCCCAGCAGAUUGGACGUUUGCUUCAAGAAAAGGGUGUUAUCGGAAUGAGGAUUAAAGAGAAAGCUGAUUAUGUUGUAAUGAAAUGCCAUGAAUGUGAAGACAUGAUGAGGUCUAUGUUUUUUGCUUCUGUGAUGACAUUCGUUCACCAGGUGAUGGUUGACCUAGACCACCUUCAAGAAGAUAUUGCCCGUAGGCUCGUGCGAAGACCGGCUGAUAUCCUGCAGGCCCCCGGAGUACUAGUGGAGGCUCUUAUGUAUUUUUGAUUGUUCAGUUUUUGAGUCUAUAUUUUACUUUUUUCGAGUUUUCUUCGUCUUUUUCAAGGUUAUUUAUUGCUUUAUUUCGAGUCUGUAGAUUUUUUUUUUGUUGUCAUCACUAUUUUUAAGUCCUUGUAAUAGAAAAUCCAAAAAGAUGUCUUUUAUUAAUAAAAUAUUGAAAACCCAAAAAAAAAUUCUUUUCUUUCAUUUCGCAUUUAUAUCUAUGAACUACGUAAUGAUCUGAUUCAUACGGCGUCAUGAUACGUAGGCAAUCCCCAUAGGAUUCAAUCAUAGUCCUAAUUAAAAAAAAAGAGAAAAGAAAACAAGAAGAAAAAAAAGAGAAAAAAAAGAGAGGAAAAAAAAAGAAAAAAGAGAGAAAAAAGAAAAGAGAGGUCGGACAAAAGAAGAAAAGAGAAUGAGAAUUAAAAGAGCGAAAAACAGUAAAAGGAGAGAGGAAAAGAAAAUCAGGAUUUGAAAUUUGGAAAAGAGCUGGGAUGAAACACAGAAGUCGUCGCAAAGCAUUUAGAAACGUUUAACUGCUCAGGUGCAUUGCAUCCCCAAUAUGUGAUUCCCUAUCUGCUAAAUGCUUUGAAACUGACCAAGUUGUUGUGUGUGCAUUAGUUAGGUUCUGUUCAGGUGGUUAGUUUGUUGGCAUCCUGGCAAGUCACCCCUAUAACACCAGAUCAAAGCGCAAGGCAGUCAUGACUAGCAAAGUAUCGGACACGGGUGUUGUUGACCCACCGAGGGAGAUUGUAGAAUCAGAGUCUGAAUUGAAAGAGGAGGUCCACAGGUUGAAGCAUCAAAUGGCAGAAAUGUAUCAAGCCUGGAUCGGGGGCAUCCUCCACCUUCAUUCCCCGCUAACUACACAAAAAAUCCCGCUUUCAUCCCACCACUGGCACAAGCCCAGGAUCCCACUACCGUUGAUCGUUCCCCUCAGCAUGCACUGGGUUUUACCACUUACCACCACUACCCCGGCACCUCAUCCCAAACUUUCUAUGCUCCACCAGCCAAAACAACUGCAUACCCUGCUCCGACAUCUGCUCCUAUUUUCGUAGCCUCUCCGCGAGCUUCCCUCCACCGAUCUUCUAGUGAACCCACGUUCCAAGCUCCAGAUACCCAAUAUUAUGCUCCGAAACCAACUUUCAAAGUCACGGAUCCUUAUUCCUACACCCCUCACUUUGAACCUCCUGUUGAAACUGAGAAGCCAUCCUGGAACGUGGAGCAGGAUGAGGUAUUCAGGAAAGUGAAGAGUUUAGAGCAAUCUUUGAAGAACAUGCAAGGGAUAGGAAGUGAAGUAAGUGUGGCUUACAAGGAUUUAUGCUUAUUCCCUGAUGUCCAACUGCCCGCUGGGUUCAAGAUACCCAAGUUUAACCUGUACGAUGGACAUGGAGAUCCCGUAGCCCAUUUGAAAGGUUUUUGCAGCAAGAUGAGAGGCGCCGGUGGUAAAGACGAAUUAUUAAUGGCGUAUUUCAGUUAGAGUCUGAGUAGGGCGGCUCUGGAAUGGUACACCCACCAAGACGCAAACAGGUGGUACACAUGGGAUGACUUGGCUCAGGCCUUUGUCCGGCACUUUCAGUACAAUAUAGACAUUGUCCCGGAUCUCCUAUCUUUGACCAAGGUAGAGAAGAAGCCUAGUGAGAGCUUUAGGUAAUAUGGUUUCAUAUGGAGAGAACAAGCUGCACGGGUUAAUUUUCCAAUGGAAGAAGAUGAGAUGGUCGAGUACUUUCUUCAAGCCUUAGAGCCUACUUAGUUUGGCCAUUUGAUCUCAGCCAUAGGUAAGUCCUUCAAAGAUGUGGUAAAGAUGGGAGGAAUGGUGGAAGAGGGACUCAAGUCAAGCAAGAUCAUGAGCUACUCCGCCAUAAAAGCAACCACACAUGCAAUUCAAAGUGGCACUGAAAGCCUGUUAGGCAAAAAGAAGAAAGAUGAUGUCGCUAUGUUUGUCUCUGGAUCAUGGCGUGGCCCAAGGGGUUCGCCUCACCAGUAAACCCAACCUCGAACCCAACCUCAAGCCUACACCCAAGCUCCAUAUAAUCCAUCCCAACAUUAUUUUCCACCACAAGACCCUCAAUAUUCAGUCAGACCACUCCAAUACCAUGUUCACCAUGCACAGUCAUAUGCUCAACCCCCUCCUUACCCGCAAUGGCGUGCUCCAACUCCACAAAAUCCUUAUCCACCCCCACAACCAUACCAAAACCCUACUGGUCCAAGCUUUUGACCAAGGCCAGAUUAUAGAAAAGAGAGGCAGUAGUGGAAAGAAACCUUCACCCCUCUUGGAGAGUCGUAUACCAGUUUGUUUUAAAGGUUGAGGCAGUUGGACGUUUUGAGGCCGAUUGAGCCAAAGAUACCAAAUCCACCUCCAAGGAACCUUGAUUAUUCCCUCGGAUGCGCAUAUUAUUCUGAUGCCCCAGGUCACGACACAGAGAAGUGUUGGCAUUUGAAAAGGGAGAUCCAAGAGCUUAUUGAUACAAAUCAAAUUGUGGGCCAGAGCCCGGAGGUGCCAAACAUCAACCAAAAUCCUUUGCCGGCCCAUGCAGAGAUACAUAUGAUUGAGAUAGUUAAUAAGGAUGGGGAUCCCAAGAAUUCUUCCAAGUCUGUCAUGAUGAUUCGGGCUAGCGAAAGUAAUCUAGUUAAAGCUCCAGAUUCUGCAAAAGUAAUGCCCUUGAAAGUUGAAGGGGUGUCGGAGAAUCUAAGCACGCUCAACGUGAAGCCAUCUGUAUUGGUUGUGAAAGGGCCUCCGAUUGAUGUUGAAGCGAACCAGGAAAAGCAAAAAGUGGUCGUGCCAGGGGUCUCGGGCAAGCCUGUCAUAAUCGUGGAAGGGGCUCGUAUUACCCCCGUUAUUAUUAAGCCAGUGACCCAGUUACCAAUGGUUGACACAAAGGUCGUCCAGUGGAAUUACAAACAGGUGAUAGUAACAUAUAAAGGGAAAGAAGUAGAGGAAGAAGUCAAUGAAACCGGAGGGCUGACUCAUUCUGGGAGAUGUUUUACCCCAGAGCAACUGAGGAAAGCCAAGCCAUUCAAGGAUGGCCACAUCCCAGUAAAGAAGCCAGUCACCGAAGAAAAGGCUGAAGAGUUCCUAAAAAAGAUGAAAAUGCAAGACUAUUCCAUUGUAGAGCAGUUAAGGAAAACACCAGCUCAUAUCUCUCUUUUGUCUUUGUUGAUACAUUCAGAUGAACACCGCAAAGCCCUGAUGAAGAUUUUGAAUGAGGCCCAUGUUCCUGAUAAGAUCACGGUGAACCACUUGAAAAAGAUUGCUAACAAGAUUUUCGAAGCAAAUAGGAACACUUUCUCAGAUGAUGAACUUCCUAUGGAGGGUACAGAACACAACCAAGCUCUUUAUCUCACAGUGAAGUACGAGGAUUCUGCUGUCUCAAGGGUACUGGUUGAUAACGGUUCUAGUGCAAAUAUUUGCCCUCUGUCUACUUUGCAAAUAUUGAAGAUCGACACUGAGAGGAUCCACAUGAACAAUGUAUGUGUUUGAGGUUUUGACGGAGGAGGGAAAGAUUCUAUCGGUGAUAUAAUGCUCGAAUUGUCAAUAGGGCCAGUUGAGUUCACUAUGGAGUUCCAAAUGCUAGAUGUGGUUGUCUCCUACAACUUGUUGUUGGGCAGGCCAUGGAUACAUGCUGCCAAGGCAAUCCUUUCUUCUCUGCACCAAAUGGUAAAGUUCGAAUGGGACAGGCAGGAAAUAGUUGUGCACGGUGAUGCGAAUUUAUCUGCUUACAAUGAUACGACUGUUCCAUUUAUUGAAGUUGAAGAUGAUAAAGAGACUUGGGUUUACCAAACAUUCGAAACAGUGUCUGUCGAGAAGAUUCCUGAGGGAGAAUGCAUUCCAGGUCCGAAGCUACCCUCCGCGUCCGUCAUGGUAGCAAAUAAAAUGUUGAAGAAUGGUUUUGUGUCGGGCAAAGGCCUGGGUUCAUCUCUUCAGGGUAUUGUGCAUCCGGUGUGUCCACGUGAAAGUUUCGGUACAUUUGGUUUGGGAUUCACAUUAACAGGGAAGGACAUGAAAAGGGCUAAAAGUUUGAAAAGGAAGGCAUGGUUACUUCCUAAGCCUGUUCCACACAUCUCCAAGUCUUUUGUCAAGUCAGGGGUCGCAAAAUUCCCAAUAUCAGCAGUCCCAAAACCUGUGGUCGACUUUGAUGAAGAGCUGAUCAAGAGGUUCCAGAGUCUAUUUGAUGAGGUUAAUAUGAUAGAAAUCGGGGAAGGUUCCAGUAAUGCCGAUGUGCAGCUUGUUGGGCCAAAUGUGAAGCUUAGCAAUUGGAAAUCUACUCGUCUCCCCAUCCGGAAGGAGUUUUGGUAGUUUGCUUUGUUUUCCUUUCUAUCAUCUGGGUUAUUCCAGGGUUGUUAUACAAAUUUUUAUUUUUGCUUGUUUUGAUGUACAAACACUUCUAUCCUUUUAUUUUCUAUGAAAUACAAUUUCCCGUUUUUCAUUAUUCCUGAUAGCGUUUCAUUUUUUGUUUUUGUUUUUUUACAGUUUUUUUAUGCUUGUUUCAAUGACAUGACAUGCGUGAGGAAUUUUCAGCCAAAUCUCAAAAGCCAAUUUAAUUCUGAAAUAACAAUCCAAGAAGUAGAGUGUGAUGAUGAAACAGAAUAUGAUGAAGACGCAACAUUUCAGAAAAUCAGUAGAGAACUAAAUCACUUUGAAGAAAAACCCAAGCCUAAUUUGAAUGAAACUGAAGCAAUCAAUUUAGAAGAUCAAGAUAAUAUCAGGAAAACAAAUAUAAGUGUGCAUCUAGAACCGCAAAUCAGUGAAGAAAUAAUCAAAGCACUGUUUGAAUAUAAAGAUAUUUUUGCAUAGUCGUAUGACAACAUGCCGGGUUUGAGCACUGAUCUGGUAGUUCAUAAAUUGCCAAUUGAUCCGACAUUCCCUCCAGUCAAGCAAAAGUUAAGGAAGUUCAAGACUGACAUGAGUGUGAAGAUCAAAGAAGAAAUCACAAAGCAACUUGACCCAAAGGUCAAUCGGGACUCGAUAUCCCACUUGGUUAGCUAAUGUUUUGCCAGUACCAAAGAAGGAUGGUAAGACCAGGGUAUGUGUUGAUUAUCGUGAUCUCAACAAGGCAAGUUCAAAGGAUAACUUUCCAUUGCUGAACAUCCACAUUCUGAUUGACAAUUGUGCCAAGCUCGAGAUCGGGUCUUUUGUAGAUUGCUAUGCGAAAUAUCACCAGAUCCUGAUGGAUGAAGAAGACGCAGAAAAGACAAAAUUCAUCACGCCAUGGGGGACAUAUUGCUACCAGGUAAUGCCAUUUGGUUUGAAGAAUGCCGGGGAAAUUUACAUGAGGGCAAUGACUAUCGUAUUUCAUGACAUGAUACACAAAGAGAUUGAGGUGUAUGUAGAUGACGUGAUCAUAAAGUCAAAAAAGCAGACCGACCAUGUCGGGGACUUGAGAAAGGUUUUCCAAAGGCUCCGCAGGUACAACCUCAAGCUUAAUCCGGUGAAAUAUGAAUUUGGUGUCCCUUCCGGGAAACUGCUGGGAUUCAUAGUUAGUCGACGCGGUAUUGAGUUGGACCCAUCAAAGAUCAAAGCCAUCCAAGAAUUACCUCCGCCAAAGAAUAAAACUGAGGUGAUGAUCUUGCUCGGGAGGUUAAACUACAUCAGCGGGUUUAUUGCUCAACUCACAACGACUUGUGAGCCUAUUUUUAGGUUGCUGAAGAAGAAUGUUGCAAUUAAGUGGACUGAUGAGUGUCAGGAAGCAUUUGAUAAGAUCAAGAGGUACCUGUCAAACCCAUCUGUGUUGGUCCCUCCGGAACCUGGGAGACCUUUAAUUCUCUAUUUGACGGUCCUGGAUAAUUCUUUUGGUUGUGUGUUGGGCCAACACGACAUCACGGGAAAGAAAGAACAAGCCAUUUAUUAUCUCAGCAAGAAGUUCACUCCUUUUGAGGCUAAGUAUACUCUUCUUGAGAGGACAUGUUGUGCCUUGACUUGGGUGGCAUAAAAGUUGAAGCAUUAUCUAUCGUCCUACACUACUUACCUCAUUUCUCGCAUGGAUCCUCUAAAGUAUAUCUUUCAGAAGUCUAUGCCCACAGGAAGACUUGCAAAGUGGCAGAUUUUACUCACCGAGUUUGACAUCAUUAAAUUAGUGGUUCAUACUCAAAAUGAUAUCUAUACUAAUAGAUUAAUCAAACUUGUUGCCUAGCCAUUUAUCUGUUGUGCAUGACAGAGCCGAUUAAUAAGAGUUGCCCAGUGGCUAUUUUCUUAUAAAUCAGAGGUCUUCCCGAAGGAACGAGAGGCGUAUGAUUCAAGAAUAGCAAUGGUCGUGCAAG
RNAcentral lists this long non-coding RNA (11489 nucleotides) under Nicotiana tabacum (common tobacco). RNAcentral describes it as "long non-coding RNA (NTAB_LNC017300)". Lineage: Eukaryota; Viridiplantae; Streptophyta; Magnoliopsida; Solanales; Solanaceae. The record is from RNAcentral.